RNAcentral lists this ribosomal RNA (265 nucleotides) under uncultured bacterium. RNAcentral describes it as "partial 16S ribosomal RNA". It matches the Rfam family "Bacterial small subunit ribosomal RNA", at positions 38 to 305 of the family's 1533-position model. The record is from RNAcentral.
GGCGGCAUGCCUAACACAUGCAAGUCGAACGCGAAAGCCCUUCGGGGUGAGUAGAGUGGCGGACGGGUGAGUAACGCGUGAGUAACCUGCCCCAUACACAGGGAUAGCCAUUGGAAACGAUGAUUAAUACCUGAUAACACAUAUCUACUGCAUGGUAGAAAUGUCAAAGAUUUAUCGGUAUGGGAUGGACUCGCGUCUGAUUAGCUAGUUGGUAAGGUAAUGGCUUACCAAGGCGACGAUCAGUAGCCGACCUGAGAGGGUGAUC